RNAcentral lists this ribosomal RNA (1220 nucleotides) under Triticum aestivum (bread wheat). Its description in RNAcentral is "partial small subunit ribosomal RNA". Lineage: Eukaryota; Viridiplantae; Streptophyta; Magnoliopsida; Poales; Poaceae. The record is from RNAcentral.
CUGAGCAUUCGGUCACAAGGACGAACGUGCCGCAUGACUAAACGUAGCUCAGUUGCCUCCCACCGCCCGCACAGAGCCCACUUCCCCACCCAUUCCCGUAUCUUCUCCCCCCUCCCCCACACUCCUCACCACUACAUCUCAAAUCCCUCAUGGCGAGCUCCUGGACGGCGACCAAAGCGAGGGUGACGACGAGGGGAUGCUGGGUCGGCAUGGCUCCCCAUGGCCGCCGAGGGGACGAGCAGGCGGAGGUCCUCGACUACCUCAAAGAUGACGAGGAGGUCGGGGUUGAGGGGACGUCCUCAACGCGCCCGUAGAGGAGAGCCUCGUCGGAGGCAGGAUGGGAGGCCCAUGGUGGCUAAGGCUGGAGUGGGCGGAUCUGAGCUCGGCUGAUGAAGCACGCCGCCAUCGGGGGAGACGAGGAACAGGGAGACGACGAGCCCAGCAUCGGCAAGCUCAACGGAGGAGCCGCGUCGAGGAAGGCAAGGUGGGAAAGGAGCUCAGAGGAGCCGCUCCGAGAUGCGGCGGCUGCUUGGCGGUGCCCGAAGCGACGCGAGCGGGCACGUCCCGCGCUGAUGCGGACGAGACUGUCACGGCCUAGCUCGAGCGGCACCCGGCCACAGGGCCGAGAUGCGGUGGCUGUUGGCGUUGCCAGCGCGACGUCGACAGGCAUAUCACACACUGAUGCGAGCGCCCCCGCAUGGACCACGACCCUCCCAUCCAUCUUCAGGGUAACACUCCCUCCCUCCCUGUGUGCACCGACCGAUGGAUCUCUGCUGUUGCUACUGAAAUCCUCAUGUGUGUUUACUAAUUGAUGUAGGAAGUUGCUAGAUUAUUGCACUAUGUGAUUCGUCUGGUGCCUUUGAUUAAUUUUGUGUAGCACCGAAACUACUUAGAAUAUGCUUGUAGGGUGAUGAAUGAGAGAGCACCAGGUUUCAGACCUGUGAACUCUUUGUGGUUUCAGACUUGUGAUCUUUUUUAUCUUUGCAUGGCAAAUUUUACAAAAAAUUCCAUGGCAAUUUUGUAUAUGCAUUAGCCAUUGCAAGUUUUAUCUCUGUCCUUGUUCGUAAACACUGGCAUUUUGCCACAUAUGACUUUUCAUGUGAUUUUCCAUGGCACAUUCUUUAUCUAAAAACAUGGCAAACUUGCCAUGGAAACUUUACCAUGUUCGAAAACAUCACAAAUUUAUAGAUAUUCCAAAAACAUGGCAACUUAGUAUGUUC